GGAGCUCUGUCAGGCAGUGAGGCAGGUGUGCAACUGGGGGUGGGGCUUCAGGCGAACAGAGGGAGAAGGUGAAAUGUUUGGUGAAGGGGUUUAGUGAGGAGGAAGAGAGAAGGCCAGGAGAGAGAGGAAAAGGCUUCAUGUGCUCAUUUUCAUGGUGUUUCCUCCACUGCCAAUGAAAGGAAAGGGAUUAUUUUUCCAUGCUCUUGAGGACCAUGACAAUUAGGCCAUCAGGAGGACUUUGUGUGCCGUACUAAAGCUGAACUGAAGGACCAGGAUCGCUUCCCCUCGGGUCAUGUGUGAAGCUCUAAGACCUCUGCAGACGUUUCCGGUCCUCUGUACAGUCCUCACCUGAGGUGAAAGAAGCAGACAGCAGGAUGAAGAGGGAUUGGAUGGGAUGAUCUCUCCACUCUGUUCAAGAAGCUCCUUUUAUUUCCUGGUAAUGAAAAAGCCAAACAUAAUGUCCUCUUUCUUUGGACACAUAAAAGAGAGACAAAGUGGACCGACCCCGAGGCUGCAGGAUGUUCUUACAGCAGCAGAGAGAAACGGCUGUGUGUGACCUGCAGAGUGAGAGUUAUUGGGUUAGAAAUGUGUGGAGGAGACGAGGAUUACAGGAGCCGCGGGGCGUCCUUUGACUCUCUCUGCUGACCAACAACAAUGAGCUUUAUGACGCUUUGAAGGACGGAGAGAAUCAUGUCCACAGGAAGAAGCUCUCAGUGUUUUUAUGAGCAGGAAGGUGGAACAGAAGUCUACGUUUAAUAUGUUCACUGUUUUAUAUCUGCCAUCUGUGGACCAGUCAGUGUGAAUGUUACACAGUAAUGUAUGCAAACUGUAAAUUAUUGUUUUCUCUUGAAGCAAGCAUAUUUUCUUUCUACUUGUGUUUGUGUGAGCCUGCUGCACUUCAGAGGACAAAAUAUGCCAACUAUUUCCAAUAAAAAAUAACCAACUCCA
Long non-coding RNA from Notolabrus celidotus (New Zealand spotty), 948 nucleotides. RefSeq lists it as uncharacterized. NCBI's taxonomy places the organism in Eukaryota, Metazoa, Chordata, Actinopteri, Labriformes, Labridae. The transcript is spliced from 2 exons. The record is from RefSeq and is a predicted model, not a curated record.